This 403-nucleotide ribosomal RNA is filed under the name Actinomycetes bacterium. Its description in RNAcentral is "Actinobacteria bacterium partial 16S ribosomal RNA". It matches the Rfam family "Bacterial small subunit ribosomal RNA", at positions 355 to 776 of the family's 1533-position model. Lineage: Bacteria; Bacillati; Actinomycetota; Actinomycetes. The record is from RNAcentral.
UGGGGAAUAUUGCACAAUGGGGGAAACCCUGAUGCAGCGACGCCGCGUGAACGAAGAAGGUAUUCGUAUCGUAAAGUUCUGUCCUAUGGGAAGAUAAUGACAGUACCAUAGAAGAAAGCUCCGGCUAAAUACGUGCCAGCAGCCGCGGUAAUACGUAUGGAGCGAGCGUUGUCCGGAAUUAUUGGGCGUAAAGGGUACGCAGGCGGUUUAAUAAGUCGAAUGUUAAAGAUCGGGGCUCAACCCCGUAAAGCAUUGGAAACUGAUAAACUUGAGUAGUGGGGAGGAAAGUGGAAUUCCUAGUGUAGUGGUGAAAUACGUAGAUAUUAGGAGGAAUACCAGUAGCGAAGACGACUUUCUGGACACAAACUGACGCUGAGGUACGAAAGCGUUGGGAGCAAACAGG